This 326-nucleotide ribosomal RNA is filed under the name uncultured eukaryote. RNAcentral describes it as "partial 18S ribosomal RNA". It matches the Rfam family "Eukaryotic small subunit ribosomal RNA", at positions 1470 to 1796 of the family's 1831-position model. The record is from RNAcentral.
CCCUUAGAUGUUCUGGGCCGCACGCGCGCUACAAUGAUGCAACCAACGAGUGCUGCUCCUUGGCCGAGAGGCCCGGGGAACCUUGCAAACUGCAUCGUGCUGGGGAUAGAUGAUUGCAAUUCUUCAUCUUGAACGAGGAAUGCCUUGUAAGCGUGAGUCAUCAACUCGCGCUGAAUACGUCCCUGCCCUUUGUACACACCGCCCGUCGCUCCUACCGAUUGGAUGGCCCGGUGAAGUGGUCGGAUCGGUGGCGCCCGCGCGGUCGCGUGGGAAGCCCCGAGAAGUCCAGUGAGCCUUNCNAUCUAGNGGAAGGAGAANUCGUANCA